This 216-nucleotide ribosomal RNA is filed under the name Glomeromycotina sp. RNAcentral's name for it is "partial small subunit ribosomal RNA". The stretch from base 46 to 216 matches the Rfam family "Eukaryotic small subunit ribosomal RNA", at positions 692 to 864 of the family's 1831-position model. Lineage: Eukaryota; Fungi; Glomeromycota. The record is from RNAcentral.
GGGUCAGUAGGUUGGUCGUGCCACCGGUACGUACUGGUCUCACCGAUUCCUCCUUCCUGAAGAACCGUAAUGCCAUUAAUUUGGUGUUGCGGGGAAACAGGACUGUUACUUUGAAAAAAUUAGAGUGUUUAAAGCAAGCUAACGCUUGAAUACGUUAGCAUGGAAUAAUGAAAUAGGACGAUCGAUCCUAUUUUGUUGGUUUCUAGGAUUGACGUA